This is a small nucleolar RNA of Pseudophryne corroboree (corroboree frog), 85 nucleotides long. RefSeq annotates it as small nucleolar RNA MBII-202. The transcript has a single exon. Lineage: Eukaryota; Metazoa; Chordata; Amphibia; Anura; Myobatrachidae. The record is from RefSeq and is a predicted model, not a curated record.
AUGACAACUUCUCCGGAAUCUCUGCAUGUUCUGUGAUGAUCUCACAUUUGAACCCUUUUCUAGCUGAUGACUGUAGAAUGUGUUG